This 253-nucleotide ribosomal RNA is filed under the name uncultured bacterium. RNAcentral describes it as "partial 16S ribosomal RNA". It matches the Rfam family "Bacterial small subunit ribosomal RNA", at positions 524 to 776 of the family's 1533-position model. The record is from RNAcentral.
UACGUAGGUGGCAAGCGUUGUCCGGAUUUAUUGGGCUUAAAGGGCGCGUAGGCGGUCUAUUAAGUCAGCGGUGAAAUACUCCAGCUUAACUGGAGGGGUGCCAUUGAUACUGAUGGACUUGAGUCAAGUCGAGGUAGGCGGAAUUGACGGUGUAGCGGUGAAAUGCUUAGAUAUCGUCAAGAACACCAAUAGUGAAGACAGCUUACUGGGCUUAAACUGACGCUGAGGCACGAAAGUGUGGGGAUCAAACAGG